GCCAGGCUGUCAAGCGUCCGCCAUCUUUGCGGAGACCCUCUUGUGGUGUCACCUGUAAUUGCCCUCCUGCUCACCCACCAUCAGUACUGUUUUAGACCCUGCUUAUCCUUCCAUGCCCACCUUUUCCACAAAUCCUCACCAGUGACUGGCCUCCCGCACUCAGCACUGUUUUAGAGCCUCUCAUCCUUCCACAUGUAGCUCUGCCACAAAGCUAUGGAGUGACCUGUGUGAACAGUGCCAUGACUCUCCUUUCUAGGGUUAACCUUUUUUAGGACCUCGAAAAACUUGGAGAAGAUCUAACCUGAAAAGCAGUAUCUCUAGACUGUUUCUUAUCUUCUAGCAGGGAAGGAUCUACAGGGCGAACAGGCAGUUUGGUGACUUAAGCCUGUCUCAAGGAGAAUUCAUCUACCAAGUUGUGUGAGCAUUCAGACAGCCUUUGGAGAGAUCCAUGUGGGAAGAAACUGACGCCUCCCACAAACUACCAGAACUGCCUUGCCAGGCUUGUGACAGUACCUCCUUAGAAGUAGAUCUUCCAGCUCCAGUCAAUUCUGAUGUUGCAGCCCUAGCUUAUAUCUUGGCUAUAGCCUCAUAAGAUACUCUGGGCCAGAAUCUCCAGAUCAGCUAUUUCUGAAUUUGUGACCCACACAAACUAUGAGUUUAAUAAAUAUUUAUUGCUGUUUUAGACCUAAACAGUAAAGCUUUAGU
This is a non-coding RNA of Microcebus murinus (gray mouse lemur), 705 nucleotides long. NCBI's taxonomy places the organism in Eukaryota, Metazoa, Chordata, Mammalia, Primates, Cheirogaleidae. The record is from RefSeq and is a predicted model, not a curated record.